GCUCAGAUUGAACGCUGGCGGCAGGCCUAACACAUGCAAGUCGAGCGGAUGAAAGGAGCUUGCUCCUGGAUUCAGCGGCGGACGGGUGAGUAAUGCCUAGGAAUCUGCCUGGUAGUGGGGGACAACGUUUCGAAAGGARCGCUAAUACCGCAUACGUCCUACGGGAGAAAGCAGGGGACCUUCGGGCCUUGCGCUAUCAGAUGAGCCUAGGUCGGAUUAGCUAGUUGGUGAGGUAAUGGCUCACCAAGGCGACGAUCCGUAACUGGUCUGAGAGGAUGAUCAGUCACACUGGAACUGAGACACGGUCCAGACUCCUACGGGAGGCAGCAGUGGGGAAUAUUGGACAAUGGGCGAAAGCCUGAUCCAGCCAUGCCGCGUGUGUGAAGAAGGUCUUCGGAUUGUAAAGCACUUUAAGUUGGGAGGAAGGGUUGUAGAUUAAUACUCUGCAAUUUUGACGUUACCGACAGAAUAAGCACCGGCUAACUCUGUGCCAGCAGCCGCGGUAAUACAGAGGGUGCAAGCGUUAAUCGGAAUUACUGGGCGUAAAGCGCGCGUAGGUGGUUUGUUAAGUUGGAUGUGAAAUCCCCGGGCUCAACCUGGGAACUGCAUCCAAAACUGGCAAGCUAGAGUAUGGUAGAGGGUGGUGGAAUUUCCUGUGUAGCGGUGAAAUGCGUAGAUAUAGGAAGGAACACCAGUGGCGAAGGCGACCACCUGGACUGAUACUG
This 725-nucleotide ribosomal RNA is filed under the name Pseudomonas sp. SMCC G994. RNAcentral's name for it is "bacterial SSU rRNA". It matches the Rfam family "Bacterial small subunit ribosomal RNA", at positions 22 to 742 of the family's 1533-position model. The record is from RNAcentral. Lineage: Bacteria; Pseudomonadati; Pseudomonadota; Gammaproteobacteria; Pseudomonadales; Pseudomonadaceae.